GACGAACGCUGGCGGCGUGCUUAACACAUGCAAGUCGAACGGAAAGGCCCAGCUUGCUGGGUGCUCGAGUGGCGAACGGGUGAGUAACACGUGGGUGAUCUGCCCCUAACUUCGGGAUAAGCUUGGGCAACUGGGUCUAAUACCGGAUAGGACAAUCGUUUAGUGUCGGUUGUGGAAAGUUUUUUCGGUUAGGGGUGAGCCGGCGGGCUAUGAGCUUGUUGGGGGGGUAAUGGCCUACCAAGGCGUCGGGGGGUAGCCGGCCUGGGAGGGGGGACGGCGACAUGGGGACGGAGGGAGGGCGCAGAGGGGGAGGGGAGGCAGCGGGGGGGAGGGUGGCGGAGGGGGGGCGAGCGUGAGGCGGCGGCGGGGGGUGGGGGAUGACGGGCUGCGGGGUGUGAACCUCUGUCGACGGGGACGAAGCUGUGGUGACGGUACCUGUAUAAGAAGCACCGGCUAACUACGUG
This 464-nucleotide ribosomal RNA is filed under the name uncultured bacterium. Its description in RNAcentral is "partial 16S ribosomal RNA". It matches the Rfam family "Bacterial small subunit ribosomal RNA", at positions 28 to 507 of the family's 1533-position model. The record is from RNAcentral.